AGUUACAGCUUACGGAGGUCAUGACCUUUAAUAGGAAGGUAAGUGGAGGAUGCGGAUUAGGGUAGAGGGUUAGGGGGUGAGAGUGCACCGGUUACAGUAGGCGAGCGUUCUUUAUUGGUGUUUGAAGUUUCUUGUUCGUAGUGUUGAGUAAUGUCUAUGAUAUCGGAUAUAUAGUUUUUAGUAUUAUUUUGUGGCUGUAGUAUUAUCUUGUAGAUAGCAAGGUUAGUUUAUUUUGCAUACUGUACACAUUUAUGUUUGUGAUCGCUAUACUGUUAUCGGUCCUAAGCCGAGGGUCUAUCGGAAACAGCCUCUCUACUUCACCUACUUCACCUGAGGUAGUGGUAUGGUCUGUGUACACUCUACUCUCCCCAAACCCCACUAUGUGGGAAUACACUGGUAUGUUGUUGUUGUUAUAUACUUCUAUACCAUAAACUGUUCUUACUAUAAAGUAAUCAUGUUUUUAUGCAAAUACGUAUAGCUUACUAAGAGUUCUUAAAUUGAUUAAACCUUCAAUAUAAUCAAGUUCCCUUACCAUAAAGUGAUCCCUUAAUAAGAGUUGGAAUGCUUGGUCCUAUUUGUUAUAUGAUUGAGUACAUCUUUUUAGCCAAAACCUAUGGUGAAGAUUUGCUCCGUAAUGGAGUUAUUGUUUGUUAGGCUUAAGUUAAUCAUAUGAUUGCAAAGUUCGAUGUUUGUUUAGAAAAUUAACUUAAAGCUUUAUGACAUGACCCUAGAUAGGAAGGUCUGGAAGACGCGAAUUACGACAGAGGAUUAGGGCCUGUUCGGGUCGCUAAUGUAGGGAAGUAAUUGGUGGGGGUGUAUUCCUGGUAUGAUUCCGUAUUCAAUGUUCUGUUCCGUGUUCCGUGUUCCAUGUUUGUUACGAAUCUGUGUGCUUUCCUCUGCUUUAUAUUCCUGCAUUCCUGCUUUACUCUGUUUUAUAUUCCUUAUGGCUGCAGUAUCUAUGUUAUGUCAUCGGCUUCUGUGCUGUACUAUGUGUUUGUUUGAUAUCUCGUAACUUGAGCCGGGGGUCUUUCGGAAACAGCCUUUCUACUUCAUCAGAGGUAGAGGUAUGGACUGCGUACAUCUUACCCCCCCCAGACCCCACUAAGUGGGAAUACACUGGGUUUGUUGUUGUUGUUGUUGUUGUUGUAAGUUUGGAGAGGGAAAUAUUCAUAGUUUUAGAAUUAUUUAUCUACGCCAGUGACAUCUUCAGCUAGAGUUCCCACCCCCAGGGUUAAGCAAGAGCAGUGGGGUAAGACUUCUAUCUCCAGGUCUCAGAAUAGUGUGAGUGGAAAAUCCAGUUAUCCUCUAUGUCCUAAGUGUGGUAAGAAUCAUCUUGGUCAGUGUUUGUUGUGACAGAAAGGUUGUUAUAGUUGUGGUAAGUUGGGUCAUGAAAUCAAAGAGUGUUCGCAAGCUAAGCAGGGAAAUAGGGAUGCUCGUCCCCAGACUCAGGCUACUAGUGUACCAGCUCCUCUAGGCCGCCCAGUACCUCCUUAGGGCGUAUCAUCCAGUACUGGUAGCGGUCAGCAUCAGAAUCAGUUUUAUGCUUUACCAUCCGGUCAAGAGCAUAAGAGUUCACUAGAUGUUGUUACUGGUAUGCUUCGUGUAUUUUAUCUUGAUGUUUAUCUGUUGUUAGACCCUAAGCCAUAUUUCUCUUAUGUGACCCCCUUAGUUGCAGUAAAUUUUUAAGUAGGUCCUGAAAAGCUUUCUAAGCCCUUCUUGGUUUCUACCCUAGUGGAUGAGUCAGUUAUUGCCAAACAGAUCUAUAAAAAGUGCCCUAUCACUGUCCUUCAUAAGAUUAUGUUAGCAGAUUUAAUAAAGUUAGAUAUGGUCAACUUUGACCUUAUUCUUGAAGUGGAUUGGACCCAUUCCUGUUAUGCAUCUAUAGAUUGUCGCACCCGAGUGGUGAAGUUUUAGUUUCCAGAUGAGCCAGUCUUUAAGUGGAAAGGUAAUUCAGCGUCUCCCAAGAGUCAUUUCAUAUCUUAUCUUAAAGCCAGAAAGUUGAUCUCAAAGGGUUGCAUCUAUCAUCUAGUUUGAGUCAACGACACUAUGUCUGAGGCUCUAACGGUUCAGUCAGUCCGUGUAGUCAAUGAGUUUUCUGAAGUUUUCCCCAAAAAUUUGCCAGGGGUACCUCAUGAUAGGGAAAUAGAAUUUGGUAUUGACCUUUUCCCCAAUACUCAGCACAUAUUUAUUCCUCCAUAUCGUAUGGCUCCAACCAAGCUUAAAGAGUUAAAAGAGUAGCUUAAAGAUCUCCUAGAUAAAGGUUUCAUAAGGCCCAGUGUCUCUUUAUGGGAUACUUCCAUCCAAUUCGUGCGAAAGAAAGAUAGUUCUUUGCAAAUGUGCAUUGACUAUCGUCCUCGAUCUUGGAAUCAAUGUGAUUCUAUUUGGGUCAUUAUUGAUAGAAUGACCAAGUCUGCUAACUUUUUGCUCGUGAGGACUAAUUACUUGACAGAAGAUUAUGCUAAGUUGUAUUUUACAGAGAUCGUGAAGUUGCAUGGUGCUCUAAUUUUGAUCAUUUCGGAUCGUGGUCCUCUAUUUUCAUCCUACUUUUGGAAGUUAUUACAAAUGAGUUUGGGUACUAUAGUGUGCCUUAAUACGACUUUCCAUUAGCAAACGGAUGGACAAGCAGAGAGGACCAUCCAAACAUUGGAGGUUAUGUUGCGGGAUUGUUUGAUUGAUUAUGGUGGUAGUUGGUAUGACCACUUGCCUUUGAUUGAGUUCGCCUAUAAUAAUAGUUAC
Molecule: long non-coding RNA, 2736 nt
Filed under: Capsicum annuum
Lineage: Eukaryota; Viridiplantae; Streptophyta; Magnoliopsida; Solanales; Solanaceae
Description: long non-coding RNA (CANN_LNC016209)
Source: RNAcentral